RNAcentral lists this ribosomal RNA (301 nucleotides) under uncultured bacterium. RNAcentral's name for it is "partial 16S ribosomal RNA". It matches the Rfam family "Bacterial small subunit ribosomal RNA", at positions 509 to 807 of the family's 1533-position model. The record is from RNAcentral.
CAGUAGCCGCGGUAAUACGUAGGUGGCAAGCGUUGUCCGGAAUUAUUGGGCGUAAAGGGCUCGCAGGCGGUUUCUUAAGUCUGAUGUGAAAGCCCCCGGCUCAACCGGGGAGGGUCAUUGGAAACUGGGAAACUUGAGUGCAGAAGAGGAGAGUGGAAUUCCACGUGUAGCGGUGAAAUGCGUAGAGAUGUAGAGGAACACCAGUGGCGAGGGCGACUCUCUGGUCUGUAACUGACGCUGAGGAGCGAAAGCGUGGGGAGCGAACAGGAUUAGAUACCCCAGUAGUCCCUGUCUCUUAUAC